Long non-coding RNA from Engraulis encrasicolus (European anchovy), 2981 nucleotides. RefSeq lists it as uncharacterized. The record is from RefSeq and is a predicted model, not a curated record. NCBI's taxonomy places the organism in Eukaryota, Metazoa, Chordata, Actinopteri, Clupeiformes, Engraulidae. The transcript is spliced from 4 exons.
UGAGGGGCAGUACAUUUCACUGACAAAAAAUUGAUAUUUUUUACCCCAACAAAUUAGGUUGCUGAGGUUACUCUGAUGCAAGGGGUAUAAUAUACUCACUCUACCUAUAAAUAAGGAGUAGGACUUAGUACUGGUGAGAAAUGACUAAACUAUACCUAAUUUGCAUUCAUACGCUAUAACUAAUACUAAUGGCUAGUGUCGAAACUACCUAUAAAUGACUAAACUUUACCCAAUUUACAUUCCAACACUGUAACUAAUACUAUUGGCUAGUAUGAUCCAAACCGUCUCUGUCAAAACUACCUAUUGAAAUUGGUUAAGGCCCGCAAUGCGCAUUGCUUUCUGGGACUUCAUUGGAAGAAGAAUCAACCGACGACUGUGGCGAGUCUCGCAGCGGAUGAAGUUAACUUCCAAUGGACGGGACAAAUUCAGAAGGCAGUGGUGUUGCAUCUUUUAUAUGCAUGGUUGUCCUGAAGUCAUUCUGGAACAGGGGUUGUGUUCAGGUGCGUGACAACUGACAACAUUGAGAAGACCCAGGAGCGGGAGAAGGGCAGCCUGAUGAAAGAAGACGACAGUGUUCUGUGGCCACACCUGAGAUGAUGGUCCUGAAGAGGAACGAGAGGAGAUACUGGGCAUAUAAAUACAGGCACUGGGCAUCACAGUGGAGGACAAUCAUGAAAAGGUUGAAGACUUCACUGUGCCCAUCCCUGAAGUCCCUCCACUCGGUGCAGCAGCUCUUUCCACCAUACUGCCAUGCUCUGGGUUGUCCCUGCCACCAUCCACCUUUUGGGUCAUCCGUGCCGCCAGCCAUCACCGUGCCUGCAGCGCCUGGGUCAUCCGUGCCACUCCCCACCAUGCUGCCAGCCAUCACUGUGCCUGCAGCACCUGGGUCAUCCCUGCCACCAUCCACCGUGCCUUCAACGUCCACAGCACCUCCGGUCUCUGUGAGCCAGUUUGCAGCUCUACUGACCUCUCCAGUAUACAGUAUGCUGUAAUUGCUAAUGGUUUCUCUGAGUGGCCUGACCGGUUAAUUGUCCCGUAUCCCAACUAGAGGUGCUCCGAUUGCUCGGCUGCCGAUCAUGACCGGCCGAUAAUGGCCAAAAAUAGCCUGAUCGGUGAUCGGAAAAACAUGCCGAUCAAAAAACCGAUCGAGAGAUAUUAAAUUCCUCAUGCAACCAUUUGCCUUUACACCUGGCGCUGCAUGUAGGCGCUGGCUCUGCACAGCUGCAACUGCACCAAAAGAAGGCAUCUUUGCUUGUCUAUAACUUUUCGCCAUUCCCCCCUUCAUUUCCACCAUUCAUAACCAUAUCUGCAUCAACAAUGAUCUGAUUUUCCGAUCCAUGCGCCGUUUACCUGAGUGACAAUGUAAUUUGCGAUUGAGUACUCGCCAGUGAGCCAUGUUACGUUAUAACCUGUGUAGUUGCCUUGGUCAGCACGCGACAACUUCACGUUGUCAGCACAAACAUGUCAAUUAUUGUUUUCAAAGUUGUAAUUGGCAGUCAGUCGAUUAGUUUGAUAGUCGCUGAAACACCAAACGGCGACAGAUGUGGUUAAAACUUGAGAGAGAGAUUCAGAACGGUAGUGGAGCACUGCAACUGUGGACGGUGACAGAGAGGGGAGGGGCUCUCCUCACGAGGCUGCUCAUUUAAAGCGACAGGUUGUUUUUUUCUCGUAUGUGGAAGACUAUUUGAUGUAAUGUUUCAGUUUCAAUUCAAUCUUAAAUAGUUUAGUUAUUCUAUGCAAUAACUUAUACAUUGAUUAAUACUGUAGACUGUAUUACCAACACUAGUCUGAAAGAUAAUAAUAAUAAUAAUAAUAAUAAUAAUAAUAAUAAUAGCCUAAUAAUAGACAUGUGCAAAUUAAGAUUGAUUGGUUUAUGGGCAGAAAUGGUAUUCAAUAAGGAUAAUUAAUAGGCUAUUAAAAAAAUAGGAAAUCAUUUUUGUGAUCGGCAAUGAUCGGUAAUCGGCAGAUAAAGAUUUUUGGUGAUCGGUAUCGGUGAUCGGACCCAAAAAAUGGUGAUCGGAGCACCUCUAAUCCCAACUAUUUACCACUAAACAAGUGAUUUUGUAAUAAGUAGGAGAUCUUUGCAAUGUUAUCAGUAUGGUUGGACUCUGAUGUUUCACUGCUGUAUGUCUUCCUCAAAGAGUAAACCGAAUUCUGAGUAUUCUUGGAUUUAGUCUUUGAAAAGUAGAGCAGCCCGUUUGUUUGAAACUGUUGUCCUGGACACCAAAUAGACUGGAACUGAUAUCCUUUUUUAAAAGAAACUGGUAUCCUUUUUAUGUGUGCAGUUUAAUGGUAGAACAGUAUACACUGAUGUGCCUUUAUCAGUAACAAAGUGAAAACGGAACAAAAUUUGACUAUUUCUGUCAAAAACUGCUACAAAUUCUACAUAUUGUUUAUAUAAACCUAGUUCUGGAGGAAGUCUGAGAGUUAUUGACAGUUGCCAUGUCAAGCUUCCGCCUUCGCGUAAAUUUAAAUCCCACCUUCCCUCCUUCCCCUGUCAUGCGCAAAGGCUAUCCUAAUUGUCCCAGUACCUCCCCCUACUCCCUCAUCUCACUGGAUCACCCAGCUACAUGUCCCCUACACUUAUGGUGUGGAAGCGGAUCUCGUGCCGCAUGAUCUCCGCAGGGUCCCAGGACAGAGGCCAGCUAACAUCGAAUUAUGCCUAUUGACCAUGGUUACCAUACUCCAGGGCAAACUCGUGAAUUAAAUGGUCCUGUUGUUAAUGUUUGUUUACUUUUUGUGAGAUAAACUGAAACAUUGAGUAUCUGCUAAUUUUUCACAUUUUCCUGUUGGUGAUAUCCCUUUAAAUAAAACAUCUUGGUUGAUAUGCACAGGUUUGUUGUAAUUGUAAUUUCCCUGGUGGACGUUUGCACAACACAGUAGAGGCAGAAAACACUGAUUGUUAAAAAGUAACUUUUUAGUUUUUCUCAAAGUUUAUUUUAAUUUUAAAUGAUAUACUUUUUAUUUUUACCUAAGUAGAU